AGAAGUUGUGGGGUACUGGAUAGGUGACUGCUGCUGGUGCUAGGAGGCCAGUGGUAAAGUCUGCCAAAGUAAACCCUCUUGCCAAGAAAUUUUAGUAGGUGGAUUAAUUAGUGCUAUUUGUGAGCAUUUUGAUGUGGACGUAGUGAGCUUCGACUUUCAAUUGGUAAAGGGAAAUGACUGGGUUGGUUUAGAAUCUCUGAUAAGGCAAGGAUUUUGAAAAAGGCAUGAUGAUGGGUUAGUUCUUCUUGAUGAUACUAGGAAUAUAGUUUCAAAUUUGUGUUUGCCAAGAAAGGGUUUGGAAGAGGAAGAAGAGAGGUAUUCAGAUUAUCAAAUGGAAUGUGAAGAGCAAUCAAUUUUGCCACUUGCCUUACCACCUAGUUCAGCAACUUUGGACUUGAUUUUGGCUAGAAUUGAUCAACAGGAUAUUUAGAUGGAUAGGAAAUUUCAAGAAGUGAAAUCUGAAUUGCAUGAGGUAAAAGAAAGAUGGAUGGUUUGGAGAGGGCUAAUGAUCAUUUUUGUGGUUGUUGAGAGGAAAAAAUAAAUGAAAUUCUGCAGUUGUGAUUGCCACAUCAACAUAUUAUAUAUGCUAGCAUUACUAUUUUGUUACAUAGUAAUAUCAACCCUUUUUCAUUUUAAGCAUGUUGAUCGAUUGGGUUGUAAAUAAUUUAAUGUUACUAUUUGCACUAUGUGACUAUUAAUUUUUGCUAAUAUUAGUACUUACUCGGAUAAUGUAGUGUUGUGUGCUUGAUUAUGCUGUGGAUUAUUGUUGGGCAUUUUGAGCUUAUUUUAUGAUUGAUUUUCUUUUGCUUAGCUAUUGUGGACGAUAUCUAUAAGUUUUGGGGUGCAAACAUAAAAUUUUUUUUUGUGUGAAAUGUGUUUGCAUUGUUGAUUGAGAAAUUCAAAAUAGAAUAAUUUUAGUCAUUGUUGUAUUAGUUAUUUUAAUCUAAUUUUGAAGAAAUAAAUUCAUAGAUUAAUUAUUUUUGAUCUAUGAAGUAUUUAAAUGAGGUUUUAUGCAUGAGACAAUUAUUUUGCUUUGCCAACCUUAUAUGGAUUUCAUUAUGUCCAUUGAAGCAAAUUGUAAAUAGUGUGUUUGGAGAUUAAGUGAUAGGCAAACUAAUUUUCAAUGUGAGAAUGAAUUGGUUAAAUGAUUGAAGCAUGGUUGAAUCUUAUUUCAUAUUCCUUUAUAUAUAUAUAUAUAUAAGUACAUCCAAAAUAAGAAUAUAAGUCUACCACCGCCAUUACCACAACCACAUUGAGAAGAUAAG
Molecule: unclassified non-coding RNA, 1265 nt
Filed under: Hevea brasiliensis (rubber tree)
Lineage: Eukaryota; Viridiplantae; Streptophyta; Magnoliopsida; Malpighiales; Euphorbiaceae
Source: RNAcentral